Molecule: ribosomal RNA, 609 nt
Filed under: uncultured bacterium
Lineage: Bacteria
Description: bacterial SSU rRNA
Rfam family: Bacterial small subunit ribosomal RNA
Source: RNAcentral
AGCGGCGAACGGGUGAGUAAUGUAUCGGAACGUACCCAGUCGUGGGGGAUAACUAUCCGAAAGGAUAGCUAAUACCGCAUACGUCCUGAGGGAGAAAGCGGGGGACUCGCAAGGGCCUCGCGCGAUUGGAGCGGCCGAUAUCGGAUUAGCUAGUUGGUGGGGUAAAGGCUCACCAAGGCGACGAUCCGUAGCUGGUCUGAGAGGACGACCAGCCACACUGGAACUGAGACACGGUCCAGACUCCUACGGGAGGCAGCAGUGGGGAAUUUUGGACAAUGGGGGCAACCCUGAUCCAGCCAUUCCGCGUGAGUGAAGAAGGCCUUCGGGUUGUAAAGCUCUUUCAGCAGGAACGAAACGGUGGUCCUUAAUACGGGCUACUAAUGACGGUACCUGAAGAAGAAGCACCGGCUAACUACGUGCCAGCAGCCGCGGUAAUACGUAGGGUGCGAGCGUUAAUCGGAAUUACUGGGCGUAAAGCGUGCGCAGGCGGUUAUGUAAGACAGGUGUGAAAUCCCCGGGCUUAACCUGGGAACUGCGCUUGUGACUGCAUAACUGGAGUGUGGCAGAGGGGGGUGGAAUUCCACGUGUAGCAGUGAAAUGCGUAGAGAU